RNAcentral lists this non-coding RNA (24 nucleotides) under Cricetulus griseus (Chinese hamster). Lineage: Eukaryota; Metazoa; Chordata; Mammalia; Rodentia; Cricetidae. The record is from RNAcentral.
GCAGAACACUGUGUACAUAAUAAA